Cyprinus carpio (common carp) is the source of this 1075-nucleotide long non-coding RNA. NCBI's taxonomy places the organism in Eukaryota, Metazoa, Chordata, Actinopteri, Cypriniformes, Cyprinidae. The record is from Ensembl.
GCUGUAAUGUAUUUACUGAUUUUGCUUUUCAAUUUUUUAAAUAAUCUGAAUAAUUCUAAAAUAAUAGGAAAUUAACUAAGUGGCAAAUACGUAUCCAGGGGCGGACUGGCCAUCUGUGUGAUCUGGAGAAUCACAGAACGGCCGGUACUCCAGGACGGCCGGCAGGCCGGCCCACCACCCGCCACGCACGCAGUCAUCACCUGUUUUUUUCCCCACUAAUCUGUUUCACACUCCAGUACUGUAGGUGGCAGCAAUGCACCUUUAAGUUGGAUGCCAGCUGCACUGGCCGUGGCCGCCAAGUAAGGAGAAGAAGUGGAAGAGUAGGAAGAAACCAACAGCAAAGAUGUUAGAUAGAAGAAGCAUAGAAACAAACAAACACUAUGCAUAACGCGCCCGCGGGUAAAAAACGGAAAGAAAAGGAGAAGGCGAGAGAAAAAAAAAUGCGGAAUUUAGAUACUGAGACUGCUAAAUGUCGCAAACGAACUGAAAUAUUUAGCAGCACAGACAGCAGCAGCACCUCGCAGUUAAAUAUUAGCAGCAGUGAAGAAGUGAGCCAGACAGCUAUGCAGCAACAUGCCCCCAGUGAUGAUGAUGAGGGACAGAAAGAUGAGCUGGUUCCACAGGCAGAUCCAGGACAAGUAGGUCGUUGGCUGCUUUGGUCUAAAGGAUGUCCAUCACAGUUCUCUGCUGGGUUUCCAGGUGGUCCUGUUGAACUGACAGGGCUGGAUGUCAGUGGAAUGUCUGCAACAUACUGGGACACUUGUGGGAACACCAGAGAGAGAGAGAGGCAGAAGGCAAAUGCAAGUACGUACAGAGGUGUAAAGGUAUCUGUAAGGGGAAUGGCUGCGUAGGCUGUGUACGGUGUGAAUAGCUGGUGAGGGGCAGCUAGUGAGGUAGGGUGCUAUGUUUUUGUGUUUGUGAAUGCAAAGAGAGAGUUUGAGUCACUUUGUUGAUGGGCAGGGGUCCAUCUAAUGACAGUGCUAUACAUGUGGUCAAACUAUUACUCAAAGCACUCUUGGUUCACAGGUUUGGUCACUGUGAAGGUAUCAAAUAAAACAAAACUGGAAUAAAAUCA